This 366-nucleotide long non-coding RNA is filed under the name Pongo abelii (Sumatran orangutan). Its description in RNAcentral is "lincRNA". Lineage: Eukaryota; Metazoa; Chordata; Mammalia; Primates; Hominidae. The record is from RNAcentral.
CCCGCGCACCUCGCUCCCCCCUCCCGGCCGGCGCUCGCAGUGGCGCGCCUGCUCGCUCUCCCGCUACCCGACGAGUCCUCAACAAGUUGGAGGAAGGCAGGAACGCAGGGGUUAAGCUCGGAAAGCCGCAAUUACCAAGAUCGUGACCCUCCCACACAGUACAGUAACUUAUAUACUUACCUGGAAGAGCCCGCUUUGCCGCCGGGCAAACACCCGUGGGGGGCGGGGAGGGGCCGGAGGGAGCGGGCCGGCAGGAGAGGGGCUGCUUCCAGCUGGCUGCAGUGCGGACGGGACCGGCGCGCUCCCGUGGCCCCCAGACCGAGGUGGUUCAAACCUGUCCUGACACCCAGAGGUCUGCAUGAGGGG